AGUUGGUGGAGUGGUCUGUCUGGUUAAUUCCGUGAACGAACGAGAUCUCUCCCUGCUAAAUUGUGUUGUACAGCAUUGAUUGUUUGAAGUAUCUCUUAGAGGAACCCUGUACGUCUACUACUUGGAAGCCUGAGGCAAUAACAGG
Molecule: ribosomal RNA, 145 nt
Filed under: Dinophyceae sp.
Lineage: Eukaryota; Dinophyceae
Description: partial small subunit ribosomal RNA
Rfam family: Eukaryotic small subunit ribosomal RNA
Source: RNAcentral